GCCGUUCUUACAUCAGCUGAUAUCUCAAAGUGCUGUACAGAAACCCAGCCUAAAACCCCAAACAGCAAGCAAUGCAGGUGUAGAAGCACGGUGGCUAGGAAAAACUCCCUAGAAAGGCCAAAACCUAGGAAGAAACCUAGAGAGGAACCAGGCUAUGAGGGGUGGCCAGUCCUCUUCUGGCUGUGCCGGGUGGAGAUUAUAACAGCACAUGGCCUAGAUGUUCAAAUGUUCAUAAAUUACCAGCAUUGUCAAAUAAUAAUAAUCAUAGUAGUUGUCGAGGGUGCAACAAGUCAGUAACACAAGAGUAAGUGUCAGUUGGCUUUUUCAUAGCCGAUCUUUGAGAGUAUCUCUACCACUCCUGCUGUCUCUAGAGAGUUGAAAACAGCAGGUCUGGGACAGGUAGCACGUCCGGUGAACAGGUCAGGGUUCCAUAGCUGCAGGCAGAACAGUUGGAACUGGAGCAGCAGCACGGCCAGGUGAACUGGGGACAGCAAGGAGUCAUCAAGCCAGGUAGUCCUGAGGCAUGGUCCUAGGGCUCAGGUCCCCCGAGAGAGAGAAAGAAAGAAAGAAAGAAAGAAAGAGAAAGAGAGAAUUAGAGAGAGCAUAUUUAAAUUCACACAGGACACCGGAAAAGACAAGAGAAAUACUCCAGAUGUGACAGACUGACCCUAGCCCCCCGACACAUAAACUACUGCAGCAUAAAUACUGGAGGGUGAGACGAGGGGUCAGGAGACACUGUGGCCCCAUCCGAUGAAACCCCCGGACAGAGCCAAACAGGUAGGAUAUAACCCCACCCACUUUGCCAAAGCACAGCCUCCACACCACUGGAGGGAUAUCUCCAACCACCAACAUACCAUCCCGGGACAAGGCCGAGUAUAGCCCACAAAGAUCUCCGCCACGGCACAGCCCAAGGGGGGCGCCAACCCAGACAGGAAUACCACGUCAGUGACACAACCCACUCAAGUGACGCACCCCUCCCAGGGACGGCAUGGAAGAACACCAGUAAGCCAGUGACUCAGCCCCCGUAAUAGGGGUAGAGGCAGAGAAUCCCAUUGGAAAGAGGGGAAACCGGCCAGGCAGAGACAACAAGGGCGGUUCGUUGCUCCAGCCUUUCCAUUCACCUUCACACCCCUGG
Molecule: long non-coding RNA, 1135 nt
Filed under: Salmo salar (Atlantic salmon)
Lineage: Eukaryota; Metazoa; Chordata; Actinopteri; Salmoniformes; Salmonidae
Description: lncRNA (ENSSSAG00000110547.1)
Source: RNAcentral